RNAcentral lists this long non-coding RNA (252 nucleotides) under Manihot esculenta (cassava). RNAcentral's name for it is "long non-coding RNA (MESC_LNC012045)". The record is from RNAcentral. Lineage: Eukaryota; Viridiplantae; Streptophyta; Magnoliopsida; Malpighiales; Euphorbiaceae.
UUUGAAAAAUAGAUAAUCACUUAUUAAUUUCUACAGAUAUAUAUAAAAGAAUACAUGCACAUGAUGAGUGUAUAUUCAAUGAGAAGCCCAUUCCUAUGAGAGAGAAUAAUUUUUUCACUAAAAUUCAUAAAUGCAUGUAAAAUUAUUAAUAAAAUAAAAUUUGUCUUCUACCAGAAAACCUAGACCACAAGUAAUAUAGAGGGCAGGUAGGAACUCCAGUCCAGUCAGCGGAUUCUUAAAAAAAAAAAAAAA